GAUGAACGCUAGCGGCAGGCCUAACACAUGCAAGUCGAGGGAGAAGCCCUUUCGGGGGCAGAAACCGGCGCACGGGCGCGUAACGCGUAUGCAACCUACCCUUCACAGGGGGAUAGCCCGAAGAAAUUUGGACUAAUACUCCAUAAUAUUAUUGGAUGGCAUCACUUGAUAAUUAAAACUGCGGUGGUUAAAGUUGGGCAUGCGUCCUAUUAGCUAGUUGGAGUGGUAACGGCACCCCAAGGCUACGAUAGGAAGGGGUCCUGAGAGGGAGAUCCCCCACACUGGGACUGAGACAGGGACCAGACUGCUACGGGAGGCAGCAGUAAGGAAUGUAGGUGAAUGGUCGGAAGACUGAACCAGCCAUGCCGCAUGCAGGAAGGAUGCGUUAUGGAUUGUAAACUGCUUUUAGAUAAGAAGAAUAAGGCGUACGUGUGCGUUGAUGACGGUACCAGAUGAAUAAGCAUCGGCUAACUCCGUG
RNAcentral lists this ribosomal RNA (478 nucleotides) under uncultured bacterium. Its description in RNAcentral is "partial 16S ribosomal RNA". It matches the Rfam family "Bacterial small subunit ribosomal RNA", at positions 28 to 507 of the family's 1533-position model. The record is from RNAcentral.